UCUUAUUUACUCUCUUUACUACUUUGAUUUAUAUUUAACGGCUUUUUUCCAUCUGAUGAAUAUGGGUUUCAGUUAAAUCUUACCCAUAUAUGUUGUAUGUAUAAAGUGUUUGUUAAAAUGAAGCAAAGAAAACCUAGAAUGAUGAUGUUAUUGUUUGGGUCAUUUUAAUUAAGGGUUUCAUUUUUAGAUUCAUGGAUUUCAUUUGGUCUGAACUUCUAAUUCAAAGAUUCUUAAUUUUUUUGUUGAGGAAUUUUGAGAAUUAGUAACAAAGAAGUUUGAGUUUGAAAAAUUGGGGAAACAAGUUAGGGUUUGAGAUGGCAAUGAUAGCAUAUACUACUGUAGAGUGUGUGAGAGUUGUGUGUGUGCAAGGUCUGUAAAUGUGCCAUGAGCACGUGCCAGUGCAAUAGAGAAUUGAGACGAAUGUGAGAGCUAUAGAAACUCGUCUUUGUGUCUGUAAGAAUCUAUCUUUCUUAUAAUCAUAAUUGAUUCAAAUCGUUGCAAUGUAAACAUCAGUAUUUCUGUGUUACUAUGGUAUCAGACUUAGAAAUCAAUUUUCGAGGGUACCGAUCUUAGCAUGUUUCUUCAUCAAAACCACCAAUACUUCAUCUUCAAUAAUCAUCACCACCAUUAAUCCAUCAUCUUCUGCUCCUGCUACUGUAAAUCGAAAUUCGAAGGUUGAUUUGAUUGAAAUAUCUCAGAUUUGCGACUAAUUUGACGGAUCUAUGUGUUUCUAUCUACAUCAACAACAUCAAUAGAUUAUAUUUAUGUUGUUAUGAGGUUGGAGGUGUUUGCUGGGGUUAAGAUAUGUUUUGGGUUUGGUGCUGAGUGUUUGGUAUCUAGUUUCAACAACAACAACAGCUCUCUCUCAGGACAAAGCUGUUUCUCAUGUUCUUCAAGUGUUACUGCCAAUUUCUGCACCAACUGGUCUUGUUCUGUAUCCCUUAUCUCCUACUGCAUCACACAUUUCUACUGUCCUGCUACAAUCACUGCUGCAACAACUACUACAUCAACUAUUUUUCCACUACCUGCAUACUUCUGAUUUCACAUGCUGCUUGGUAUCAUCUCACAGGUAUACCUACUGCAACAAUUAUAGCUGUCCAUUCUAUUCAAUGACUCCUAAUACAACACCUCCUGCAUCAACUGAACUACCAACUGCAACAACUACUACUGCAUCUUUUGGCCUAUUGUUUUAUGUUGUAUGCUGCUUUGGUCCUUGUCAGAAAUGUGCUUCAUAUUGUCUACUCCAACUGGAGAUUCCACACCACCUGCAAUGGAUAUAUUUUCCUACUAUUCAACUGUGUAUCUAUGUUUGUGCUGGUUUGUGUGAGAGUUGUGUGUGUGCAAGGUGCAAUCUCAAGCUGUUUUCUUCAACCCAUCUUGAGCUUGAGGGAGGGUGAUAGCAUAUACUGCUGUAGAGUGUGUGAGAGUUGUGUGUGUGCAAGGUCUGUAAAUGUGCCAUGAGCACUGCGAGUGCAAUAGAGAAUUGAGACGAAUGUGAGAGCUAUAUAAACUCGUCUCUGUGCCUGUAAGAAUCUAUCUUUCUUAUAAUCAUAAUUGAUUCAAA
Papaver somniferum (opium poppy) is the source of this 1564-nucleotide long non-coding RNA. RefSeq lists it as uncharacterized. Lineage: Eukaryota; Viridiplantae; Streptophyta; Magnoliopsida; Ranunculales; Papaveraceae. The transcript is spliced from 2 exons. The record is from RefSeq and is a predicted model, not a curated record.